This is a long non-coding RNA of Limulus polyphemus (Atlantic horseshoe crab), 108 nucleotides long. RefSeq lists it as uncharacterized. Lineage: Eukaryota; Metazoa; Arthropoda; Merostomata; Xiphosura; Limulidae. The record is from RefSeq and is a predicted model, not a curated record. The transcript has 2 exons.
CUAUCCAGGAAAUCUUCAAAAGAAUCUCGGAACAAUUUACUGCUAUGUUUCGACGUAAAGCUUUCUUGCAUUGGUAUACUGGUGAAGGAAUGGAUGAGAUGGAGUUCA